ACUCUGCCCAGUCACUGUAUUUAGAGGUAGUGCUAAAGGUGACCUGUAAAAGAUUUUUAAUAUCCUUUUUUGCUUCUUUAUGCUGUUUUUAGCAGGAGAAACUGAGCAGUUAGGACAAGAAUUCAAGAUGAAAGGUUGCCUUUAAGGUCCCUGACUCUGGGGUGUACACUGGAUACCGGGCAUUGCUGGAGUCUUGGUGUUUUCUGUCUACUCUGAGAUGGGAGAUUCCUCCUCACACCAGCUGCAUUCGUGAUUUAGCCCAAGCACAGGCUCCCAAAGGCCUAAAAUUCCCUAAAGUAAAAAAGAUCACAAAGUGACAGCUUCAUAAGGCAGAACAAACCCCAUAAAAAUAUAAAAGUAAAUGUUGUUUUUAAAGAGAGACCAUCAACCUGAGAAAGGAAUAUGAAGAAGACACUAAGAAUAUUGAUAGAGAACAGGGACAGCAGUGCCAGCUGUACUCAUCUUGCCUGCAAACCCCAGCAUCAAGUGAUACAGAGAGGAAACCUGAUUUGCUUGGACUGCAAACCUCUUGUUGUGCUUGGUUUUGUUUGUUUUUUUGGAACACUGAGAUGCAGAAUAAGAAUGUGAAGAAGAGCACAUGGUAUCCCAGUGCAAAAUCCAUUUAUAUUUUCUUAUUGUUCCCUCAUUCACAGCCUUAUGAGUAUUUAGGAGUGCUGGAAAUCAUCUGAAGGUCAAAUGAUUUUGGAGAGUUGCUGCUGCCUGUUAAAACCGGCCUUUUAUCCAAAAUGCUUCAGGGGAGAACCUAAGCAGGGAGCUCCUCGUGCUCUGUCCCAGCCCAUGUCUCUCCAUAACAGUGUUCAGUGGCUCAGUGGCCAAGUUUAAUUAGCAGGGAAGCUGCAUUUGAACCAUUCUGCUCGGGGGGACUGAUGUCACCCCUGUCAGUGAGAAUUACUGAGAGGAGCUUCCGACAGGGCAAGGAGGGGGUGGGGAAACUCAUGGCUGUGACUGUUAACAAAAUCCAAGGCAGAUGGCACCCUGACUUCAAAGGAUGAUGUGGGUUCAAGGCCUGCCAAAAGUGCUGUCACUGCAUUUUUGCCACCAGCCUGGCACAAGAGCUGGGAGUCCUGUCCCACCAGCCCCUACAAACAACUAGGGAACAACAUCUGUGUCUUCUCUGGGCUCCUGGAGGGGGAUUCUAUCUUUGAUCUCUUUGCACUGAAUACCACACUCUUGUAUAAUAUUUCCCACAAAUACAAAUCCAAGUAUUUUUUUCCUAGACAGGCAAUAAAUAUUUAUCUACCUUGCUU
Long non-coding RNA from Chiroxiphia lanceolata (lance-tailed manakin), 1268 nucleotides. RefSeq lists it as uncharacterized. The record is from RefSeq and is a predicted model, not a curated record. The transcript is spliced from 3 exons. NCBI's taxonomy places the organism in Eukaryota, Metazoa, Chordata, Aves, Passeriformes, Pipridae.